This is a long non-coding RNA of Bombyx mori (domestic silkworm), 1584 nucleotides long. RefSeq lists it as uncharacterized. The record is from RefSeq and is a predicted model, not a curated record. The transcript has 4 exons. Lineage: Eukaryota; Metazoa; Arthropoda; Insecta; Lepidoptera; Bombycidae.
GCACGGCACUGCCUUGCGAUUCUCUAAAAUUCAAACAAGAACUCGCAUCUCACUACGAAAUUCUCCAUCACUUCGCAUUCGCAAUAGAAUGACCUUGAUUUGGCAUUCUGUAAACACUAAUCUUAAUUACCCUGCCUCGAGCGAAGUGAAGUGACAACGAAGUUUGUUUAUAAUAUACUAGGGAUAGCCGUAUACGCGCAAAUGUAAAUCGAAGCUUACCGGUUUCAGUUUUUCGUUGUAUUUAUAAGCAUUCUGUAAGAAAAUACUAUGAAUUUAAGCUUUGGUGUCUAAGCCACAUCUAAUAUAUCUAAAAAGAAAAUUAAAAGUCAUAUAUUUAUGAAAUUAAUUGUAAUUUCUGGAUGUACGCUAAGUUCCUUUGCGUGCACUGGCGAAUACCAGAAUUAAAAAACAAAAUUUUGUUUUCAAAACAAUCUCAAGCAGUCGGAAGUUUUUAUUUUGCUUUUUCUAGAGUUUUUGUUACUUUGUGAGUGAAUUUAACGUUAAGUAAAAAUUAUGAGACUUAACGAGCGUUCUUCUCAUCCGACAUUGGUGCAAAUAGAGGCAUUGAUAGACGUUUUGGAUUAAAAGCUAGCGAAACAAAAGGUUUAAUCGUAUCUCAACAUGUUCAAUAAGAGAACAAGGAUAUUAAAAAAAUAUAGGAAUUAAAUUCUCUUGUCAGAUAUGAUCCAUUCCCGGUGAGAUAUUUAGGACAUGUUAACAUCUAUUUAUGUAUGAUAAAUCUAUCUACUACGUUUUUAUUGAUAUUCUAUUUUAACAGGGAAUAUCGGUAAUUUAUCUGUAUCUCAAAUUCACCAACAAAAAAAAUAUAUAUUGAAUUAAAUAAAUCAAAUCAUUAACAAUUUAGGCAUUGCAAGUUGGAUUGAUGUUGUUGGAAUGUUUUUAUUGAUGCAGAGGUGACUGUAUUUAUGGUAAAGGGUGUGCAUAUUGGUACAGGGGUGGCAGGCAGUUCCAGAGUAUUGACUAAACUGACAUUAUGUAGGUUAAAGGCUGCAUACUCCGUUUAAAAUAAAUGAACAAAAUUUAGGCAUAACCUAUUUUAUUAUAUUUAAGGAACUACAACAGAUUGAAAAUACUAAUCCACAUCAUCAGAAUAUUGUAAGGAGAAUUUAUUGCCAACUCGGAAAAUGUAUCAGUAUUGGAACAAUCCCAAACAUACAGCAUUGCAUCAAGAAUCACCUAUUUUGCAGUCAUCCUCCCCUAACUAAAUGCAAGUGACUUCUACUUAUUGUGAUGCUACUACUAGUAGCUCCAGCCACAGUAGGUCUCAUGUUAGUCAAGAGAUUGGCUUGUUAGCACCUCAAUACCUGACCUGCUAUUUCACCACUUUUCAAUGAAAAGCAGAGUGUACUCAAAUUACAACAAAUUACACAGUACCAGGAUAUAUAACUUAAACAACCAUGGGGGAAUAAAUAGUCGACAGUCUGCAAGAAGGAUGAACUGUUGGUGGAAUUAGCAUAUGCAGCUAGGAAUUUUAAACCUGUAUUUCCACAUAUUACUGAUGCAAACAAAUUUCAAAAUUAUUGUAUAUAACUAUUGAAUAAAACUAUUUUUAUAAAUCAUUAA